This 642-nucleotide long non-coding RNA is filed under the name Homo sapiens (human). RNAcentral describes it as "HSALNT0033392". Lineage: Eukaryota; Metazoa; Chordata; Mammalia; Primates; Hominidae. The record is from RNAcentral.
CUUCAGUCAACCACAGGCAGUCAAAUGUUCAAACCAGGUCAAAUAAGCCUUCUGGGGCUGAUUUGGUCGCAGGCAGCAGAGCAGUUGAAGAAGCAAAUUAGUAAAUGGUAGCAGAACAGAAUCUGUUCCAAGCACACAUGAUCCCAGGAAUGGAUGGAGAGAGAUGUCAGUCAUGGGACUUUCCACAGAGAAGGUGGGAGCAGAGACACAGCCACAUUGUACUGUGAGGUUGGUGAAGGUCUCAAAAAAGGAUUAAGCAAAUGACAACAAAGAUAAUACCUUCCAUUUAUCACUCUAAUUACAUACAGCCCCUUCUGCAUUGUCUUUGGUUUGUUGAUUGAGAGGGAAAAAUAUCUUCUUUCUUAAAUAAUCCAGAAAAAAACUUUUAUUUAUUUAAGACACAGUCUUGCUCUGUCUUCCAGGCUGGAGUGCAGUGGUGUGACCAUGGUAUACUACAGCUUCAAACUCCUGGGCUCAAGUGAUCCUUCUACCUCAGCCUCCUAAGUAGCUGGGACUAGAGGUGCACACCACAGUGCCCAGUUAUUUUUUUAUCUUUAUCUUUGUAGAGACAGGGGUCUCACUAUGUUAUACAGGUGGCUCUCGGAACUCCUCAAGUGAUCUUCCUGCAUCAGCCUCCCAAAG